UUGAAGUCGGGGUUUCCCCCUUUUUGUUGGUUUCUUUUCCCCGACGAAGUCUUGAUUUGAUAAGUCUUCCCUGUUGGAUCUUUAGUUCAUUUUCUAACUAUUCAUUGGUUAUUCUCGAGUUCUUCCUUUUCCCCUGCGGAACUUUGUUUGUCCCCAACCGAGUCCCCCCUUUGGAAUUUGUCAUUCCCCUGCGAAAUUUCCA
Molecule: long non-coding RNA, 202 nt
Filed under: Lathyrus oleraceus (garden pea)
Lineage: Eukaryota; Viridiplantae; Streptophyta; Magnoliopsida; Fabales; Fabaceae
Description: Pisum sativum (pea) long non-coding RNA (PSAT_LNC022563)
Source: RNAcentral